Molecule: ribosomal RNA, 232 nt
Filed under: uncultured bacterium
Lineage: Bacteria
Description: partial 16S ribosomal RNA
Rfam family: Bacterial small subunit ribosomal RNA
Source: RNAcentral
CGGACGGGUGAGUAAUGUCUGGGAAACUGCCUGAUGGAGGGGGAUAACUACUGGAAACGGUAGCUAAUACCGCAUAACGUCGCAAGACCAAAGAGGGGGACCUUCGGGCCUCUUGCCAUCGGAUGUGCCCAGAUGGGAUUAGCUAGUAGGUGGGGUAACGGCUCACCUAGGCGACGAUCCCUAGCUGGUCUGAGGGGAUGACCAGCCACACUGGAACUGAGACACGGUCCAG